Phrynosoma platyrhinos (Desert horned lizard) is the source of this 71-nucleotide non-coding RNA. The record is from the annotation of a GenBank genome assembly. NCBI's taxonomy places the organism in Eukaryota, Metazoa, Chordata, Lepidosauria, Squamata, Phrynosomatidae.
GCUGGCAUGGUUUAGUGGUUUGAAUGUUGGACUCCAACUCUAGAGACCAGGGUUUGAAUCCCUGCUUAGCC